Long non-coding RNA from Boleophthalmus pectinirostris (great blue-spotted mudskipper), 284 nucleotides. RefSeq lists it as uncharacterized. The transcript has 3 exons. Lineage: Eukaryota; Metazoa; Chordata; Actinopteri; Gobiiformes; Gobiidae. The record is from RefSeq and is a predicted model, not a curated record.
AACAGGACACAGGACAGAGACAGGAGCAGAGACACACAGUGUGGAGCAGGAGGAUUAUCAGAGCUGAUCUGGAGAGUCGUCUACAAACACAGAGUGACGUCCAGAGCUCUGCUGGAGCUGUGGGGAAGUUCAUGAAUGUUAUAGUUGAUGUUUCAGAAAAAAGGAAGAUGUUUGAGAACCAACAAAACACAGACCACAGAUGAACAAAGUGAUGUGGCAUUAGGAGACUUUAUACCAGAUGCCCUCCCUGUUACUGUGUUUAGAGGAAGAAAAGCAGCACAUGG